CUGAAGUUAACAGGAGCCAAAGUCAUCUAGAAGAGAACCUUAUAUAUCUAUAACAUUAUACCUCAUAUAGAAGGCACAAGCUGAGUCUUAUGCAAGGUUUAAUGAUUGGUCAUCAAAAGAAGACUAAUCAAAGAGCACCUUAGCAAGCUUACUGGAGAAGCUCAAGGCACACCGCAAAAUUCAUCAGCAUUUUUUCUUGUGAGCCCGAAACUCGGCUUAGGGAAGGGGAUCCCCUCUACGCAUCCAGAAGACAUAAAAGCAGCCCUUUCCUAAUGAAGUCCCAGCAAAGGCAGUCAACUUAGGAAACAUUAGCGCAGCGUGGAGUUUGGAGACUCUGCCUGCAGCACACG
Gorilla gorilla gorilla (western lowland gorilla) is the source of this 350-nucleotide long non-coding RNA. RefSeq lists it as uncharacterized. The transcript is spliced from 3 exons. The record is from RefSeq and is a predicted model, not a curated record. Lineage: Eukaryota; Metazoa; Chordata; Mammalia; Primates; Hominidae.